This is a long non-coding RNA of Pan paniscus (pygmy chimpanzee), 306 nucleotides long. NCBI's taxonomy places the organism in Eukaryota, Metazoa, Chordata, Mammalia, Primates, Hominidae. The record is from Ensembl.
CUUACGUAAUGUAAAAUAGUAGGCACAUAGUUGAAUGAAGGCUCAGGCAGAGAGGAUCACUUUUCAAAGAUUGUAAAAGAAGUUACGUGGAUAGUGUGUGUUAUGCAGCAAGGAAAGGAAUGGAAAAUCAGAAGACGUGUUUAGAUCACACAAACCAGAGGUGAAAGCUGAAUCUGAGAGGCUUCUGUUUCCAGCAAUAAGGUUAAUGCCUCAGUGUUUUAAGAGACUUAUUUUACCAGAGAAACUCCAAACCUGGCAAACAAAGGCCUGUGAGUACUCAACCCUUAAGACAAUCCUAAAUGCCCC